UUGGAGAUAACAGAUAUCAAUGCUCUUGGAGAGAUGCUUGAAUUAAAGAUGUAAGAGAUGGAUGAAUCCUAGCUCUUCUCACAGAACGAGCAUUGCUUCUUCCUUCAGCAUACUCCUCUCCCAGUGGCCACCUUGGUCGUAGAUCAUACACAAAAUCUUCUGCUUCAUCUGCAAGCGGUGGAGGAUCAAAUCUUCCCAUGCAGAAGUGCUCAAUUCCAGUCCAAGCCACCAUUACACCAUUAUCAGUACAAAGACUUGAAGGAGGGCAUACAAGUUUCAGGUUCUUCUUCUUCACAAUCAGAUCAAGCCGGGUUCGGACAUAUUGAUUUGAUGCAACACCCCCAGAGACCACCAAAUAUUUGAUAGAGG
This 369-nucleotide unclassified non-coding RNA is filed under the name Hevea brasiliensis (rubber tree). The record is from RNAcentral. Lineage: Eukaryota; Viridiplantae; Streptophyta; Magnoliopsida; Malpighiales; Euphorbiaceae.